RNAcentral lists this ribosomal RNA (484 nucleotides) under uncultured bacterium. RNAcentral's name for it is "partial 16S ribosomal RNA". It matches the Rfam family "Bacterial small subunit ribosomal RNA", at positions 30 to 507 of the family's 1533-position model. The record is from RNAcentral.
AUUGAACGCUGGCGGCAGGCCUAACACAUGCAAGUCGAGCGGCUGAAGGGAGCUUGCUCCUGGUUUCAGCGGCGGACGGGUGAGUAAUGCCUAGGACUCUGCCUGGUAGUGGGGGAUAACGCCCGGAAACGGGCGCUAAUACCGCAUACGUCCUGAGGGCGAACGUGUGGGACCUUCGGACCUCACGCUUUCAGAUGAGCCUAGGUCGGGUUAGCUAGUUGGUGGGGUAAAGGCCUAACACGGCGACGAUCCGUAACUGGUCUGAGAGGAUGAUGAGUCACCCGGGAACUGAGACGAGGCCCAGACUCCUACGGGAGGGAGCAGUGGGGAAUAUUGGACAAUGGGCGAAAGCCUGAUCCAGCCAUGCGCCGUGUGUGAAGAAGGUCUUCGGAUUGUAAAGCACUUUAAGUUGGGAGGAAGGGCAGUAAGUUAAUACCUUGCUGUGUUGACGUUACCAACAGAAUAGGCACCGGCUAACUUCGUG